RNAcentral lists this long non-coding RNA (227 nucleotides) under Mytilus galloprovincialis (Mediterranean mussel). Lineage: Eukaryota; Metazoa; Mollusca; Bivalvia; Mytilida; Mytilidae. The record is from RNAcentral.
CUCUUUUUUGUGCUAUGUUUGUUAUAAUGAUGGAAGUAAGUGGACAGUUAAAAACCACGUGUUUCUUUAAUCAAAGAUGUCGAUGUAAAACUUCAAAUAAAACAUAUGUCGAGGUUGAUUGUUCACAUGCAAAACUAAGGGAUAUACCUUACCUGCCACAAAAUGUGAGCAGUGUUAAUUUAAGUUACAAUAAUAUACAUAAAAUACCGGAACAUUUUAAAAACAAC